UGCAUUUUAGUAUAUUUUGUAUAUAAUUUUUUGGUAAUUAAGGAGGUAAUUUUUGUACCAAAUGCAU
This 67-nucleotide transfer RNA is filed under the name Chrysolina aeruginosa. Its description in RNAcentral is "tRNA-Gln". The record is from RNAcentral. Lineage: Eukaryota; Metazoa; Arthropoda; Insecta; Coleoptera; Chrysomelidae.